UACGGAGGGUCCAAGCGUUAUCCGGAAUCAUUGGGUUUAAAGGGUCCGUAGGCGGGCUAUUAAGUCAGAGGUGAAAGUUUGCAGCUCAACUGUAAAAUUGCCUUUGAUACUGGUAGUCUUGAGUUAUAGUGAAGUGGUUAGAAUGUGUGGUGUAGCGGUGAAAUGCAUAGAUAUCACAUAGAAUACCAAUUGCGAAGGCAGAUCACUAACUAUAUACUGACGCUGAUGGACGAAAGCGUGGGGAGCGAACGGGAUUAGAUACCCGGGUAGU
RNAcentral lists this ribosomal RNA (271 nucleotides) under uncultured bacterium. Its description in RNAcentral is "partial 16S ribosomal RNA". It matches the Rfam family "Bacterial small subunit ribosomal RNA", at positions 524 to 794 of the family's 1533-position model. The record is from RNAcentral.